GCUUGCACCUGAUUCCUAGCGGCGGACGGGUGAGUAAUGCUUAGGAAUCUGCCUAUUAGUGGGGGACAACGUUCCGAAAGGGACGCUAAUACCGCAUACGUCCUACGGGAGAAAGCAGGGGAUCUUCGGACCUUGCGCUAAUAGAUGAGCCUAAGUCGGAUUAGCUAGUUGGUGGGGUAAAGGCCUACCAAGGCGACGAUCUGUAGCGGGUCUGAGAGGAUGAUCCGCCACACUGGGACUGAGACACGGCCCAGACUCCUACGGGAGGCAGCAGUGGGGAAUAUUGGACAAUGGGGGGAACCCUGAUCCAGCCAUGCCGCGUGUGUGAAGAAGGCCUUUUGGUUGUAAAGCACUUUAAGCGAGGAGGAGGCUUACCUGGUUAAUACCUGGGAUAAGUGGACGUUACUCGCAGAAUAAGCACCGGCUAACUCUGUGCCAGCAGCCGCGGUAAUACAGAGGGUGCAAGCGUUAAUCGGAUUUACUGGGCGUAAAGCGCGCGUAGGUGGCUAAUUAAGUCAAAUGUGAAAUCCCCGAGCUUAACUUGGGAAUUGCAUUCGAUACUGGUUAGCUAGAGUAUGGGAGAGGAUGGUAGAAUUCCAGGUGUAGCGGUGAAAUGCGUAGAGAUCUGGAGGAAUACCGAUGGCGAAGGCAGCCAUCUGGCCUAAUACUGACACUGAGGUGCGAAAGCAUGGGGAGCAAACAGGAUUAGAUACCCUGGUAGUCCAUGCCGUAAACGAUGUCUACUAGCCGUUGGGGCCCUUGAGGCUUUAGUGGCGCAGCUAACGCGAUAAGUAGACCGCCUGGGGAGUACGGUCGCAAGACUAAAACUCAGAUGAAUUGACGGGGGCCCGCACAAGCGGUGGAGCAUGUGGUUUAAUUCGAUGCAACGCGAAGAACCUUACCUGGCCUUGACAUACAGAGAACUUUCCAGAGAUGGAUUGGUGCCUUCGGGAACUCUGAUAC
Molecule: ribosomal RNA, 963 nt
Filed under: Acinetobacter sp.
Lineage: Bacteria; Pseudomonadati; Pseudomonadota; Gammaproteobacteria; Moraxellales; Moraxellaceae
Description: bacterial SSU rRNA
Rfam family: Bacterial small subunit ribosomal RNA
Source: RNAcentral